RNAcentral lists this ribosomal RNA (449 nucleotides) under uncultured bacterium. Its description in RNAcentral is "bacterial SSU rRNA". It matches the Rfam family "Bacterial small subunit ribosomal RNA", at positions 29 to 523 of the family's 1533-position model. The record is from RNAcentral.
AACGAACGCUGGCGGCAUGCCUAACACAUGCAAGUCGAACGAGACCUUCGGGUCUAGUGGCGCACGGGUGCGUAACGCGUGGGAAUCUGCCCUUGGGUUCGGAAUAACAGUUAGAAAUGACUGCUAAUACCGGAUAAUGUCUUCGGACCAAAGAUUUAUCGCCCAGGGAUGAGCCCGCGUAGGAUUAGCUAGUUGGUGAGGUAAAGGCUCACCAAGGCGACGAUCCUUAGCUGGUCUGAGAGGAUGAUCAGCCACACUGGGACUGAGACACGGCCCAGACUCCUACGGGAGGCAGCAGUGGGGAAUAUUGGGACAAUGGGCGAAAGCCUGAUCCAGCAAUGCCGCGUGAGUGAUGAAGGCCUUAGGGUUGUAAAGCUCUUUACCCGGGAUGAUAAUGACAGUACCGGGAGAAUAAGCCCCGGCUAACUCCGUGCCAGCAGCCGCGGUAA